Gasterosteus aculeatus aculeatus (three-spined stickleback) is the source of this 311-nucleotide long non-coding RNA. Lineage: Eukaryota; Metazoa; Chordata; Actinopteri; Perciformes; Gasterosteidae. The record is from Ensembl.
CCUGCAUCUUUCCACACAGUCAGGUACCUUCCAUUGGAGAGCUUUGACUCCCAAAAUGUCCUGAGAACAGAGCUGUCCGUUUGGCCCUCAUUUUCCUCCCCAUUCACCACGGAAAGCAGGGUCACAGCAGAGUGGCUCGUACCUGCUAACGAAGACACCAAUGAGCCUCUGGACUUUAUCUGCCAGCUCAGCCACGGAGUCGAGGCUGGCAGUCGGGCCUCGGUGCCCAGCCCGGCCCUGGAGCCCAGCGGCCUGCAGAGGAACCCAUGUGCAGAAACCUUUUAGAGCUCCAGCAAUCCGAUUAAGGCAGC